AACGAACGCUGGCGGCAUGCCUAACACAUGCAAGUCGAACGAGACCUUCGGGUCUAGUGGCGCACGGGUGCGUAACGCGUGGGAACCUGCCCUUAGGUUCGGAAUAACUCCCCGAAAGGGGUGCUAAUACCGGAUAAUGUCUUCGGACCAAAGAUUUAUCGCCUUUGGAUGGGCCCGCGUUGGAUUAGCUAGUUGGUAGGGUAAAAGCCUACCAAGGCGACGAUCCAUAGCUGGUCUGAGAGGAUGAUCAGCCACACUGGGACUGAGACACGGCCCAGACUCCUACGGGAGGCAGCAGUGGGGAAUAUUGGACAAUGGGUGAAAGCCUGAUCCAGCAAUGCCGCGUGAGUGAUGAAGGACUUAGGGUUGUAAAGCUCUUUUACCCGGGAUGAUAGUGACAGUACCGGGAGAAUAAGCUCCGGCUAACUCCGUG
Molecule: ribosomal RNA, 433 nt
Filed under: uncultured bacterium
Lineage: Bacteria
Description: partial 16S ribosomal RNA
Rfam family: Bacterial small subunit ribosomal RNA
Source: RNAcentral